CGGAACUCACGUGACUGACAAAAAGAAACCGAAAGCGAUCGAAUCAGAUGACUAGACGCCAUUUCGGAUGAUUGAAAAUCAAGUGUCUUUGCAUGUUACGGACUGAAAUCAAGUCUCUCAUCGAGGAAGAAGAGAAUCAGAAAAAAACAGCCUGAGAAAUGAGUGUGUAUGAGGAGAGAGAGCAGGAGGCUCCUGAUCACACUCAGAGAGCAGCAUCUCCAGGAUUCAGCUGUGUAUCUAUGAAGAGUAACAACUCCACGCAUCUGCCCCCUGAACUCAGUAAUUUUUACACUCAGAGAACAGCAUCUCCAGGAUUCAGCUGUGUAUCUAUGAAGAGUAACAACUCCACGCAUCUGCCCCCUGAACUCAGUAAUUUUUACACUCAGAGAACAGCAUCUCCAGGAUUCAGCUGUGUGUCUGUGAAGAGUAACAACUCCAUGAUUCUGCCCCCUGAACUCAGUGGUUUUCACACUCAGAGAACAGCAUCUCCAGGAUUCAGCUGUGUGUCUGUGAAGAGUAACAACUCCACGCAUCUGCCCCCUGAACUCAGUCAUUUUUACACUCAGAGAACAGCAUCUCCAGGAUUCAGCUGUGUGUCUGUGAAGAGUAACAACUCCAUGAUUCUGCCCCCUGAACUUAGUGAUUUUCACACUCCGAGAACAGCAUCUCCAGGAUUCAGCUGUGUGUCUAUGAAGAGUAACAACUCCAUGAUUCUGCCCCCUGAACUCAGUGGUUUUCACACCAAAUAGAACAGCAUCUCCAGGAUUCAGCUGUGUGUCUAUGAAGAGUAACAACUCCAUGAUUCUGCCCCCUGAACUCAGUGGUUUUCACACCAAUAGAACAGCAUCUCCAGGAUUCAGCUGUGUGUCUAUGAAGAGUAACAACUCCAUGAUUCUGCCCCCUGAACUCAGUGGUUUUCACACCAAUAGAACAGCAUCUCCAGGAUUCAGCUGUGUAUCUAUGAAGAGUAACAACUCCAUGAUUCUGCCCCCUGAACUCAGUGGUUUUCACACCAAUAGAACAGCAUCUCCAGGAUUCAGCUGUGUAUCUAUGAAGAGUAACAACUCCAUGAUUCUGCCCCCUGAAUUCAGUGAUGUUCACACCUCUGACUCUGUCAUCAUCAGCAGGAAGAGAAAGAGAGCAGCUUCUCCACUGCAGCCCCCUGAUCUCAGUGAUGAAUUAGUGACCUUUGA
Molecule: long non-coding RNA, 1193 nt
Organism: Cyprinus carpio (common carp)
Lineage: Eukaryota; Metazoa; Chordata; Actinopteri; Cypriniformes; Cyprinidae
Exons: 3
Source: RefSeq, a predicted model, not a curated record